GACGAACGCUGGCGGCGUGCUUAACACAUGCAAGUCGAACGGAAAGGCCCUUCGGGGUACUCGAGUGGCGAACGGGUGAGUAACACGUUGGUGAUCUGCCCUGCACUUUGUGAUAAGCCGGGGACACUGGGUCUAAUACCGAAUAGGACCACGCGCUUCAUGGUGUGUGGGGGAAAGCUUUUGCGGUGUGGGUUGGGCCCGCGGGCUAUCAGCUUGUUGGUGGGGUAAUGGCCUACCAAGGCGACGACGGGUAGCCGGCCUGAGAGGGUGAACGGCCACACUGGGACUGAGAGACGGACCAGACUCCUACGGGAGGCAGCAGUGGGGAAUAUUGCACAAUGGGCGCAAGCCUGAUGCAGAGACGCCGCGUGAGGGAUGACGGCCUUCGGGUUGUAAACCUCUUUCAAUAGGGACGAAGCGAAAGUGACGGUACCUAUAGAAGAAGCACCGGCCAACUACGUG
Molecule: ribosomal RNA, 462 nt
Filed under: uncultured bacterium
Lineage: Bacteria
Description: partial 16S ribosomal RNA
Rfam family: Bacterial small subunit ribosomal RNA
Source: RNAcentral